GACGAACGCUGGCGGCGUGCCUAAUACAUGCGAGUCGAACGAACCGCGACUAGGUGCUUGCACUUGGUCAAGGUGAGUGGCGAACGGGUGAGUAACACGUGGGUAACCUACCUCAUAGUGGGGGAUAACAGUCGGAAACGACUGCUAAUACCGCAUAGGACAUAGGAUCACAUGAUCCAGUGAGGAAAGGUGGCGCAAGCUAUCGCUAAGAGAUGGACCCGCGGUGCAUUAGCUAGUUGGUAGGGUAAAGGCCUACCAAGGCGAUGAUGCCUAGCCGACCUGAGAGGGUGAUCGGCCACAUUGGGACUGAGACACGGCCCAAACUCCUACGGGAGGCAGCAGUAGGGAAUCUUCCGCAAUGGACGCAAGUCUGACGGAGCAACGCCGCGUGAGUGAAGAAGGUCUUCGGAUCGUAAAGCUCUGUUGUUAGAGAAGAACAGCGCAUAGAGUAACUGUUAUGCGUGUGACGGUAUCUAACCAGAAAGCCACGGCUAACUACGUG
Molecule: ribosomal RNA, 502 nt
Filed under: uncultured bacterium
Lineage: Bacteria
Description: partial 16S ribosomal RNA
Rfam family: Bacterial small subunit ribosomal RNA
Source: RNAcentral